CAGUCGCCGCGGUAAUACAGAGGGUGCGAGCGUUAAUCGGAUUUACUGGGCGUAAAGCGUGCGUAGGCGGCUUUUUAAGUCGGAUGUGAAAUCCCUGAGCUUAACUUAGGAAUUGCAUUCGAUACUGGGAAGCUAGAGUAUGGGAGAGGAUGGUAGAAUUCCAGGUGUAGCGGUGAAAUGCGUAGAGAUCUGGAGGAAUACCGAUGGCGAAGGCAGCCAUCUGGCCUAAUACUGACGCUGAGGUACGAAAGCAUGGGGAGCAAACAGGAUUAGAGACCCCCGUAGUCCCUGUCUCUUAUAC
This 301-nucleotide ribosomal RNA is filed under the name uncultured bacterium. Its description in RNAcentral is "partial 16S ribosomal RNA". It matches the Rfam family "Bacterial small subunit ribosomal RNA", at positions 509 to 807 of the family's 1533-position model. The record is from RNAcentral.